GAUGAACGCUGGCGGCGUGCCUAAUACAUGCAAGUCGAGCGAACAGACGAGGCGCUUGCUCCUCUGACGUUAGCGGCGGACGGGUGAGUAACACGUGGAUAACCUACCUAUAAGACUGGGAUAACUUCGGGAAACCGGAGCUAAUACCGGAUAAUAUAUUGCACCGCAUGGUUCAAUAGUGAAAGACGGUUUUGCUGUCACUAAUAGAUGGUUCCGGGCGGCAUUAGUGUGUUGGUAAGGUAACGGCUUAUCAAGGGAACGAUGCGUAAGCGGGUUGACGGAGUGAUCGGCCACACUGGAACUGAACCACGGUCCAUACUCCUACGGGAGGCAGCAGUAGGGAAUCUGCCGCAAUGGGCGAGAGCCUGACGGAGCAGCGCCGCGUGAGUGAUGAAGGUCUUCGGAUCGUAAAACUGUGUUAUUAGGGAAGAACAAAUGUGUAAGUAACUAUGCACGUCUUGACGGUACCGAAUCAGAAAGCCACGGCUAACUACGUG
This 497-nucleotide ribosomal RNA is filed under the name uncultured bacterium. RNAcentral describes it as "partial 16S ribosomal RNA". It matches the Rfam family "Bacterial small subunit ribosomal RNA", at positions 28 to 507 of the family's 1533-position model. The record is from RNAcentral.